Molecule: small RNA, 97 nt
Filed under: Marmota monax (woodchuck)
Lineage: Eukaryota; Metazoa; Chordata; Mammalia; Rodentia; Sciuridae
Source: RNAcentral
GCUGGGCAUGUGGUGCAUACCUGUAAUCCCAGCUACUUGGGAGGCUGAGGCAGGAGGAUCCCAAGUUUGACACCAACUUAGCUAGACCCUGUCUUAA